AGAGUUUGAUCAUGGCUCAAAACGAACGCUGGCGGCAUGCCUAACACAUGCAAGUCGAACGAAGCCUUCGGGCUUAGUGGCGCACGGGUGCGUAACACGUGGGAAUCUGCCCUUCGGUUCGGAAUAACAGUUAGAAAUGACUGCUAAUACCGGAUGAUGACGAAAGUCCAAAGAUUUAUCGCCGAAGGAUGACCCCGCGUAGGAUUAGGUAGUUGGUAGGGUAAUGGCCUACCAAGCCGACGAUCCUUAGCUGGUCUGAGAGGAUGAUCAGCCACACUGGGACUGAGACACGGCCCACACUCCUACGGGAGGCAGCAGUGGGGAAUAUUGGACAAUGGGCGAAAGCCUGAUCCAGCAAUGCCGCGUGAGUGAUGAAGGCCUUAGGGUUGUAAAGCUCUUUUACCAGGGAUGAUAAUGACAGUACCUGGAGAAUAAGCUCCGGCUAACUCCGUGCCAGCAGCCGCGGUAAUACGGAGGGAGCUAGCGUUGUUCGGAAUUACUGGGCGUAAAGCGCACGUAGGCGGUUACUCAAGUCAGAGGUGAAAGCGCGGGGCUCACCCCCGGAACUGCCUUUGAAACUAGGUGACUAGAAUCUUGGAGAGGUCAGUGGAAUUCCGAGUGUAGAGGUGAAAUUCGUAGAUAUUCAGAAGACACCAGUGGCGAAGGCGACUGACUGGACAAGUAUUGACGCUGAGGUGCGAAGCGUGGGGAGCAAACAAGAUUAGAUACCCUGUAGUCCACGCCGUAACGAUGAUAACUAGCUGUCCGAGCACUUGGUUGCUUGGGGUGGCGCAGCUAACGCAUUUAUGUUAUCCGCCUAGAGAGUACGGUCGCAAGAUUAAAACUCAAAGGAGUCGACGGCUGCUUGCACAGCGUGGAGCCUUGUGAUUUAGUACGAGCCACCGCAGAUCCUUACGUCGUGACUCUCAUCGGUAUUACAGAAGAUGGUAA
RNAcentral lists this ribosomal RNA (951 nucleotides) under uncultured bacterium. RNAcentral describes it as "bacterial SSU rRNA". It matches the Rfam family "Bacterial small subunit ribosomal RNA", at positions 8 to 1012 of the family's 1533-position model. The record is from RNAcentral.